AUGAGAAUCCAGUCCAAUAGCCCACACCGACCUAGUUCUCUUCUCCUCUGUUUGUGUUCAGCCCGUCGCUCCUCGCUAGCUGACUGGCUCGAACCUGGGCCCUGCUGCUCUCUACGUGUUGGUGUGGGCUAUUGGGCUGGAUUCUCAUUCACACAUGGGACCAUUUCACCGCGGACCCAGGGGCCAUGCACUCCAUUAUUCCUUCCCAACGACGUCACGCUUCCCCCGCCUCAUUCCUCCGUAGGUACCUCAUCAGUCACCUGGCUAAUCCUGGGUCGGACGCGACACGCUCCCAGCUGGGUCCAGUGUCUUUCUACUGGGACCCACGCGUCAGCGGGGCAACGGACCCCAAAAGGCAGCCGCUCCACUCGAGAAAAAAGGAAAGAAAGCGUAGCCACUCCUCCUACCCGCCAGGUCGUCCUAUCCGCCGUAUCCGGUUCCCGAUUCGACUCCACCCAAACCCCUAAUCCCCCUCCCACCACCAUAGCCGACGACCCCGCCUCCGCCACGCCCUCCCACUCCUCCUCCUCCGCCGACCAAGACGAGGGCACCGACAGAGACGCCUCCAACAACUCCCACCCACCCGCUGCCCAGGAGACCCCGCUUCCCAACUGCCCGACCCCGCCUCCUUCAGCCCCCGCUGCCGCUGCCUUCCCCAAACCAGCCGAUCCUGUCCGCCGCCUCCGCCGAGUGCCGCGGCGGCGGCGGAGGACUCGAGGCGGCUGUGGACGGACGAGGAGGAGCUGCUCAUCCUGCACGGGUUCCUCGAGUUCACGUUGCGCUGGGGCUCCGCCUUCGCGUCGCCACGGGCCCCUUCUACGAGGAGAUCCGCCGGAAGCUCUCCUUCGACUUCUACAAGAACCAGCUCAUCGAGAAGCUGCGCCGCCUCAAGAAGAAGUACCGCGUCUGCGCCACCCGCAUGGCCGCGCAGGGCGCCGCCUUCGCCUUCAAGAGCGUGCACGAGGGCGCCAUCUACGACGUUGUGCGCCACAUCUGGCGCCCGGCUUUCAAGUGCGACGGCGUCGCGACGACAUCAACCCCGCAAAAGCAGCAGCAGUCGCAGCAGCCGCCGCCGCCACCGCGGCUGCCUCCACGGAGCCGCCUGCUGCGAGCGAGGGUGGCAGCGGAGGUGCGUCUGCGCACACCCCUCGGGGCAGGGGCUCGCGGCGUGGAAGGAAGAGGACGGCGCAGGAGAUUGAGGCGCCCACAUUCCCUGCAACGCCUGCUCCGAUGUUGACCGAUGCGGCUCAUGAGCCAGCUAUCGCGGCGUUCGAGAGUUCUGUGGCGGUGAUUGCACAACCACCUUCAGUGCCGGCAGCACCAUUGCCUCCUUAUCCGCUGACAGCCAAUGGCCCCACUGAAGCUGAUGUCCGAAGCAUCCUGUCACCACUGCUGAAGGAGCUCAUCAACUCGGUUGCUUUUCCUGGGCAGACCGGACUAGGAUUGGGCUUGGGCAUGGGAUUCGGGGGUGCUGAUAUUCUUGGCGUUGGUCUUGGGGUGGCUGGACUGAGCCCUCGGGUGCCCGGUGAUGAGAAGUGGAGGCAGCAGCAGAUUCUUGAGCUGGAGGUCUACCUCAAGAGGCUCGAGCUUGUCCGGGAGCAGGUCAUGACGGUGCUACAAGAACUCGGGUCAUCAGGAAGCUGA
This 1644-nucleotide ribosomal RNA is filed under the name Triticum aestivum (bread wheat). RNAcentral describes it as "partial small subunit ribosomal RNA". Lineage: Eukaryota; Viridiplantae; Streptophyta; Magnoliopsida; Poales; Poaceae. The record is from RNAcentral.